RNAcentral lists this unclassified non-coding RNA (254 nucleotides) under uncultured bacterium. Its description in RNAcentral is "contains 16S-23S intergenic spacer region". It matches the Rfam family "Bacterial small subunit ribosomal RNA", at positions 524 to 776 of the family's 1533-position model. The record is from RNAcentral.
UACGGAGGGGGCGAGCGUUGUUCGGAUUUACUGGGCGUAAAGGGUCCGUAGGCGGUUGCGUAAGUCUGGUGUGAAAGCUUCGCCGCUCAACGGGAAGCGGUCACUGGAUACUGCGUAACUUGAGUGUGGUAGAGGCAAGCGGAAUUCCUGGUGUAGCGGUGGAAUGUGUAGAUAUCAGGAAGAACAUCGGUGGCGAAGGCGGCUUGCUGGGCCAUUACUGACGCUGAGGGACGAAAGCGUGGGGAGCAAACGGG